Molecule: long non-coding RNA, 317 nt
Filed under: Androctonus crassicauda
Lineage: Eukaryota; Metazoa; Arthropoda; Arachnida; Scorpiones; Buthidae
Source: RNAcentral
AAAAAAUGUCUUGCAUCUGUUAAUGGUAUCAUCAUUCUGUAAAAAGUUAAUCAAAAUCGGAGUUUUUUAAUUGGGUAAUUUUCGUAGACAGCGGAGCCUCUCAAAACGCGGGGCCGGGUUCCAGCAAACGCGCUAUACCUGCCUUGCACCAGCCCUGUUUACAAAGUAGGCUUUGACUACUUUAAGUGCCAUUCAAAUAAUACAGGAUCAAGAAAACAUGGUUUUUCCUAUUUUUUGCAAGUUAUAUACAUGAACUUGAAUUAAGGAAAUAUGUUAUUGGCCAAAUGCUGGCAUUUUCAAAGAAAAAAAGAGGAACC